GCCAUUCUUGAAGCUUCCAUGCCAUUUUCUCUUUAUCCACCAUGAAAUCAAGUUUUCUUCACUUCUCUUUCCAUGUUUUCUUUUCCUUUCUUCUCCAAACUUCUUAAGCAUUAAAUUUAUAGCCUUUAACCCCAAUUUCCAGCACACCUAAACCCUAGGAAGAGAAGAAAGAAAAAGAGAGAAAGGAAGAAAAAGCUUGGUUUUAGCGAUUCGAGUAAGGAAUGGUAAGAAUUCUUGUUUUUGGCUUGCGUAGUUUUUGAAAAUGAGUCAGUGACUCAGAGAAAUGUCUUGUAGCAGCAAAGAUUGGCUUGAUUGGAGAAAAAUUGGUAACAUGUAAGCCAAUAAACCCAUGGGUACAUGAAGGACUCAAAGUGGAAAAGGAAAACGGUAAGCUUAACACUACGUUUUAAAGCCUACGGUUAGUUGAAUAUUGUGAUGGAAUUAUGGUUGUUGAAAGGAUCUAUUUGCAUAAGCUAGUUGAAAAUUGUUAAGAUUGUAUGGCAUGUUGUUUGAAAGAAAUAAAAAAAGAAUAUUGUGGAUGGAGGAUUGAGAAACAAAGUAUUGAAAGUUAGAUAGAUAAUGAUGCGUGUAAACUAGGAAAUAAUUGAGUGAAAGUCAGAAUAAUUGUUGCUGCCAUAUAUGUGGAUUAUGUGUGGAAAUAUAAGAUGGGUUUGGGCGAAAAUUAUUUAGAAAGGUUGAAGUAGGCACAUGACAUCAUAAAUAAGUUACCGGUAAUAUAAUCUAAGGAAUUUCGUAAUCAAUGGAUUUAAGUAAUUUUGGUAAAAAUGUAUUAAGAAGUCAGUUAAUUGAAGAUGGUUUCAUGAUAGAAUGAAAAUAUAAAUUUGAGUAAGGAUUAAUUGAUUGAAGUGCUGCUCGUAUACGUAUGUAAUUAAAUAUAUUGAGUUCGCAUUAUUGCUAGGAAGUGCAAAGAUAAAGUUAGAGAACUGUGGUGGCAUGUCGGAGUAAAUAACGAGCGACCGGCCAGUGAAAAUAGUUAGAGACACCUCCGAACAAAUAGCGACUUAAAAUCUCAUUGUUGCCAAAUGAGUGAACUUGCAUUAAAAUGUCUUGGGAUAAUACACAUUUAUGUUUGAUUGAAUCGUCUAAAACGUUUUAUUGGUUUUUCUUCAAAAACUUGCACAGGAACAAGCCCUUAAGAAAUGUUUUUAUGUUAUGAAAUGGAUAGUGUGAUGAAUUCAUAUGUUUCUGUAUAAUGAUAUAUAUAUAUACUAUGUCAUAAAUGGUACCAUUGUGUGGCAAAUGCAACCGUGCAUGUGCGGAGUGGGCAGUGCACAUGUUGGUAAUGAUUCUGUCGUGAUAAUUACAACCGUGCAUGUGUGAAGUGGGCAGUGUGCAUGUCGGUAAUGAUGAUGUCGUGAUAAUUACAACCGUGCAUGUGAGGAAUGGGCAGUGCACAUGCUGAUAAUGAUGCUAUUGUUAUAAUUACAACCGUGCAUGUGCAGAGUAGGCAGUGCACAUGCCGGUGAUGAUGUACAUGAGCUGGAUGAGGUGUGGUGCUAUGUUAAUUGAUAUAUGCUUAAGCAUAUGUAUAUGCAAUAGAAAGAUUAUGAUUAUAAUAUGUGAUUAUAUGGCAUGAUAAAUCUUGAAAAUUUCCCAUUUACAUGUGAAUUGAUUUUAUUGCAACAAGAACAUUCUAUUUAUACUGCCUUGCUUGGAUGAUUGUUGGAAAUUUCCUUCCUUUUUGAUUUCCUGCUAAAUAUGGUUCCUUCAUUAUGAAAUGAUUUAAUAACCCGGGGUUGAUGGAAGGAUUUUAAUAAGAACUUGAACUAGGUUGCACUGUUUUCGAACUUAAGUGCAUCAUGAUUUCUAAAUCAUUCCUUGUAAUUGCUUGUUCCCUUCCUAUGUUCACUCACUGAGUUUAUACUCACGUUUUCAACUUCAUGUUUUCAGAUUCAAGGGUGGUUGAGACGUAGAUUGAGGUGUUCGUGUACUCCCAUCUUUUGGGCAAGUACUUUGACAUUCAGUAGUCAUAUCUCCCAUCCAGAGUCACUCCGCUGACGGUCAAGGUCUAAUCAUGUGUAUAUGAAUACUUGGUGUGAAAUAUUAAGAAUCAUUUGUUACUCUAUCUAUAAAUAUAUAGGUGGAUGAUGCCAUUAUGAAUGUAUGAUUGAGUUUUAUGAAUUAUUUUUAAACGAAC
This 2158-nucleotide long non-coding RNA is filed under the name Theobroma cacao (cacao). RNAcentral describes it as "long non-coding RNA (TCAC_LNC003802)". Lineage: Eukaryota; Viridiplantae; Streptophyta; Magnoliopsida; Malvales; Malvaceae. The record is from RNAcentral.